RNAcentral lists this ribosomal RNA (253 nucleotides) under uncultured bacterium. RNAcentral's name for it is "partial 16S ribosomal RNA". It matches the Rfam family "Bacterial small subunit ribosomal RNA", at positions 524 to 776 of the family's 1533-position model. The record is from RNAcentral.
UACAGAGGUCUCAAGCGUUGUUCGGAUUUAUUGGGCGUAAAGAGCUCGUAGGCGGCUUGUUGCGUCGGCUGUGAAAACCCGCGGCUUAACCGUGGGCUUGCAGCCGAUACGGGCGGGCUGGAGUUCGGUAGGGGAGACUGGAAUUCCUGGUGUAGCGGUGAAAUGCGCAGAUAUCAGGAGGAACACCGGUGGCGAAGGCGGGUCUCUGGGCAGUAACUGACGCUGAGAAGCGAAAGCGUGGGGAGCGAACAGG